Felis catus (domestic cat) is the source of this 384-nucleotide long non-coding RNA. RefSeq lists it as uncharacterized. NCBI's taxonomy places the organism in Eukaryota, Metazoa, Chordata, Mammalia, Carnivora, Felidae. The record is from RefSeq and is a predicted model, not a curated record. The transcript has 2 exons.
ACCUAACUUUCCCUUAAUUCUUUCAUUUCCAGGCCACAUGGUUCAUCUGUGUUUUCAAACUACUGCAAAUCUCCAAACAAUUUUCUAAUAUAUUUAUUGAAGAAGACCUGCAUAACAGGCAAUCAAGCGAGAUCCAGACACCCGACACCCAGGACACAAGGGCAAACAAGCAAGCUCCGUACUAACCGACCACGUGUCCAGUAAAGAAGUCCUGCCACUUGACGGCAUACUCGCUUUCGUCUUUACCAUCUACCACCACGACUUUGAAAUUCUGGGAAAAGCGUUCAGUACUUGACGUCAGGUAUAAUUUAAAAUGCCUAAGGAAAGAUUGCGUCCAUAUUUUACUCAAAGCACAUUAAAGUUUUGCACAGAAUUUUACUCCGA